This 253-nucleotide ribosomal RNA is filed under the name uncultured bacterium. RNAcentral describes it as "partial 16S ribosomal RNA". It matches the Rfam family "Bacterial small subunit ribosomal RNA", at positions 524 to 776 of the family's 1533-position model. The record is from RNAcentral.
UACGUAGGGGGCGAGCGUUGUCCGGAUUUAUUGGGCGUAAAGAGCGUGUAGGCGGUUCGGUAAGUCUGUCGUGAAAUCCUAAGGCUCAACCUUGGGCGUGCGAUGGAUACUGUCGGGCUAGAGUCCGGAAGAGGAGAGUGGAAUUCCCGGUGUAGCGGUGAAAUGCGCAGAUAUCGGGAAGAACGCCGGCGGCGAAAGCGACUCUCUGGUCGGAUCCUGACGCUGAGGUGCGAAAGCUAGGGGAGCAAACGGG